Molecule: long non-coding RNA, 285 nt
Filed under: Homo sapiens (human)
Lineage: Eukaryota; Metazoa; Chordata; Mammalia; Primates; Hominidae
Description: non-protein coding lnc-SPANXA2-3:1
Source: RNAcentral
GGACAUGGACAUGAACAUGAAGAAAGUAAAAUGGAACUUCCAGAUUAUAAACAAUGGAAAAUAGAAGGGACACCAUUAGAAACUGUCCAGAUGCUGGCUGCAUAAGGGCUAAGGUAUCCAUGGGGCUGCAAUGAAACUUGGAGAUACGUGGGUGGCUUUGCAAACAAUGUUUCCUUUGUUGGUGUCUUAUUAAAAGCAUUCAAAUGAGGAUUUGCUGCAUUUUUGGUAGCUGUGGGGGCUGAAUAUUACCUGGAGUCCCAGAAUAAAAAUAAGAAGCAUCACUGA